This 6072-nucleotide long non-coding RNA is filed under the name Equus caballus (horse). RNAcentral describes it as "lncRNA (ENSECAG00000045420.1)". Lineage: Eukaryota; Metazoa; Chordata; Mammalia; Perissodactyla; Equidae. The record is from RNAcentral.
AGAACCAAGCAGUGCCAAAGUUAGGAACCUGACAGUCUUGCCCAGGAGGCUGGCUCUGGAAUGAAUAAGCUCAAAUCAUUAUCUGUUUGUCUAUAUCACUCUAUUCAAGAUUUGAAGAGCUAGGAGAAAGGUCCUCUUGGCUAAGCCCAGGUCUUGUGACUGGCUCCUGGCUGUUCCAGGCACUAAAAGGAAGGAUCUGGCUGACAAGACCCUUCAGCAUUUGUUACUGAAGGUUUCCACCUGCAUUUUCUUUCCACCCAAACUACCCACGGCGGAGGACAAGCAAUGCGCCCAAAUGGAAUCACGGUGCUGUCAGGAGGGACUGUGAGCGCUUGGAGACCACAGAGUGCCAAAGGUUUAUUCUAACUUUUCUUCAUUUGAUAGUGGUUCACUAAUUAGCACUCUCUGGCAAUGGCCAUUCAGCCAGAAAGAGAUCUACUCAAUUGUCCAGGAACAUAGAUCCAUCUGCCCCACCAAGAUGUGUUAACAAACUGACAAAUAGCCUUGCUGAAAUGCAGGAUUGGUGGUGCAAACUAGGGAAAAGAAAUCUGGAGGAUGAGUUGAGUUGCUCUGAAAAAGAUCAGAAAGGGAAAUGGAAGACCUCCUGCCAUCUGAAGAAAUCUGAGAGGGAGAGGUAAGGAGCAGGGCUGGGAGAGAGGGAGAAAGGGCCAGAAGUUGGCAGAGACAUCAUCCGUGCAAUGAGACCCUUCACAAUGGCCCCUCGGGAAACUCUCCCCAAGGAGCAGUUUCAUCUUAGAGUGGACAUGUUACAGGCCAGGGGUAGAUUGAUGGAAGUUGAACCCAAGUGGCAGAGAAAGCCAAAAGGACACAAGUGUCCAUCCUACUUGUAUCCACACCCUAGGAAGUAGUAGAAAUCUGGGAUUUAAAGCUCUAGGACCACGGAAUUUGGGGGCUGAAGGCAAAUUCGUCUAGAGCUCGAGGAGCAAGCAAGCCUCCAGCUGACUUCUGGAAUAUACAUAUUUGCAUUCAUAGCUGAGAAACAAUAGAAUAUUGAAAUCUCUAGUCCUUGGGUGAUUUUUCUCAAGCAGAAAAAGAAAAAGAAAAGGCUCUUUGUUUCAUUAUUCCAACCUUGAUCUUUCAUUCAUUCUCUAAGGGCAUAAAUGACUAUUUAUAUAUGUUUCCAUGAGUUAAAUCAUUCUUGAGGAUUUUUUGUUUGUAGUUGUUGUGUUGUUUCCUGCUAUGGAUUUUAACACAGAAGCCUUUCCUUUUGAGCCAAAAGUAUCAACAACUAGCACCCUACAACUGCCAGUGCCAGAUUCCUUUGUUCGUGGGUCCUUUUGCCAUAUAUUUUCUGGGGAACACAAUUAACUACAAAUGUGAAUAGUGUGUGUCUGCUGUGUAGGGAAACCUGAGGUGAGAGCGGCUGCCACCCACCAUUCCCCAGAAUGUGCCCAACACAGCCCUUGCAGAACUUGGAGCCCCAGGAGGAUCUAUUCUAGAUCACGUGGCCCUGCCAUUCCAGCCACAGCCAGGAGUGCAAAUCUAAGGCAAGAGCAGCCAAACCAUCGCCUCUGGGGUGGCCAUAGGUGAAAAGACAAGUCAGGCCAGUCAGAUUCUCUUUCUUGGGUAUUUGAAAGAGGAAAUGGGUGAAAGAAUGCUGAAAGUCUCUGUCAAGGAAGGCCAUGAGAUAGCUUUAGACGCCAUGAGGAAUCAUGAGCAAGCCAGAAUAGGAGAAAGCAAAAGGAGAGUGAAGCAGACAUAGGAAAGUUGAUUGCUUCAUAUUAACCCCACCUGUUCCUGCCGCAGGUAUGAGCAAAUACAAGCCAUUCCCUUUGCUUGCCUUCUUACAUUCUCUCGUCUUCCUCUUCCCAUCUCUUCCCUUCUUUGACUAACUCCACCAAGGCAGAAUGGUCAGAGUUUUGCCAUUAGAGCUGAUUAAAAUGCAUCUUUCCAAUUCCCUUGUUUUUCCCUAUCCAGAAUGAGAUUUACAAAAGAUUCAUUGACCAUCUUGUCACGUGUAGGCAUGAUGACACCAAGGCCUUCCUUUGUUGCCACAAAAUGUCCAGAGAGAAAUAAUAUCUGAGAACCUAAGGCUUCCCUUCAUAGCAUUCUUCUCUCUUAUGGAACCUAAUUGUAGCACUAGAAAAAGAGAGAUGGGCUCUUGCAAACCUCACAGCAUGCUGACUCUAACACAUCACUAGCUAAAUAAGAAACAAGGUCAGCAUGGUGUGGGAGAAAUGGCAGUGUUAUCUUAGCUGUCCAUUCAGACUGUCGAUUCGAUGGGUGGGUUUGUAAGGAAGGGAAAGAGAAAUGUAUAUGGAAGUAAUAUCACUACAGGCCACAAUAUAUAGGGAUGCAGGGGAAAAAAUAGUUGAGCAUAUUUUCAGGAUGUGGUAAGCGGAUAUGGCUCAACCAGAGGAAUUUAUAGCUGCAACUGGCAUCCCUAACACCAUAAAACUGUGCACGGAAGCCACUUUUAGGAUUGAGGAUCAAACUGCUAGAUUCAAAACAUAGACAAUAGAACAAACACCGCUGCUUAACACGGAGCAGGAGAUGAAACUAAUUUGCUACUCUUCACUGGAUUCCACCCCAUACCUCUAACACAGCAAUCCUGUGUAGUUAAUUUAUUAAAGCAUCUGCAGUUGCCAUAGAUAAGGGAAAAAGCUAUCAGGGCUGGAAGAAAUGGUAGACAGCAGAUCCUUAGCCAGCAGUCAAACAAGAGUAAAAUGUCACAAGCCAAAGAAGGUACCAGAGGAAAUAACCUGAGUUAGAGAAGAAGAAUUCCUCAGGGAAGCAGGUCUCCUUACCCCAGAGCAGUAAAAAGAAUCUACAUAAAGGAAUUCAUUUUUUUUUUAAUUAUUUUAAAAUAGGCUAUCAUUUCAAUUAAGAAACUGAAUGAAUUUCCUGGAAUUAACCUGUAUUCCAGCUUUGAAAUCAGCCAUGAAUACACAGACCAAAAGGCACGCACAAGCAUGCUCCCUUGCUCAGCCUCUCUCUCAAACAAAAGAUCUCCCUCCGGCGACCCUUAAAAGGAGUUUGAAAGCUGUAAAGUCACAAGAAUGAGAUUUUAAAGCUGGCAGCAUGUAAGCUGGCUAAAGACGAUAUUCCCAACUCUCUCUCAAAGAAAACCCAAAAGAAGCACUGGGUGUGGGAGACACAUCUGCUGAGAUGCUCAGAGACCCACAUGUGUGGCACUUUAACGAAGAAAUAAGGAACUGGACUUCCCACUUACAGUCUCGCACCACCAGCCCUUCCUUACAUUUUCCGCUUGUUCCCCAACUCACAAAGAAGCAUGAUAGCCAGAGACAGACAGGAUGAGAGUGUAGAAGGUAGAUGACAAAAGCGCUUGAUCUCGAGAGUCAUUGGGAGCUUUUGAUCCCAAAUAAUGAGUGAAUAUUGUUUGAAGCCCUAGCCAAAAAAAACACUUAAUAAUAGUAAUUUUAAACAUUCCUUUCCUUUCUCUUGAAGUCUUCUUCCCCAAUCUGGCAAAUUGCAAAGCACUAAAGGAGUAUUUUCAUCAAUGUGUCUAAAUAUGUUAUUCAGAGUAGGAUUUUAUGUGAGAUAGCCCUGGGGAACUUUCUGGAAGAAAAAGGCAGUCCCAAAAUUGGAUGAACAAACUGCUUUAAGGCUUUAAGGUUUUAAGAUUUUGCAAACCAUAUCGUGCCUUCACUACACCCCAAGCCAGAAAUGAAAAAGAAAAUAAUUCCAUUUUCCAGGCACUGCAAAGGGACUCGCUUACUAUUUCUGUGGGUUCACAAGAAUGCAGCAACCAGGAGAGGCAAUGUCCCCAACACAAAGGAACCCAGACCCCUGAGCUUCUAGCUGGCAAGUUACCCAGCAGAGAAAAUAGGAUGCUAUUGAAUUUGCAGGCAUCUCAGUCAGUGACGGAGGUGGAGGGAUGUUGCAAAAGGAUAAUGGGAGGAAGAGGGAUUGGGAAAGCAGGGAUGAGGGACAGGUGGAUCUGGAAGUGGAAAACCAUUUUUCAAGCCUAGAAGAACAACUUAAAAAAUAUUACUGGGGAAUUAAUGCAUAAAAAGUGUCCUUAGCAGGGGGAGGUGUGAAGGGGGGGUACAUACAUCAUAAAAAGAUACACUCUGUGGCCAAGACUCCCUGACCAUUAACACCACAGAUAAUCAAAGAGAAAAAAUCUAAUUUAGUAGAAGGAUGGUAAUCUCCAAAUGAUAAGCCACUUCACCUGGUGUCCACACUCUAGUCCCAGGCCCACAUUUAAACAGGAGCAAAAAUUUAAACACAUGCACCCACACACACAUAUGCGCAUACACAAACACACAUAUACACCCAGAGACAGAGCAGCCCAAGGCCUGAGUGUAGGAGGCCAUGGGAAAACUCAUUCACGAGGACUUUUUAAUUGCUUUGUGUUUGUUUUCUGUCUUCUCCCCCCUUUCUUCCGAUGGUGAUUAUGGUUGUAUUUUGAAAUCAUGAUGCGCCACUGCAGCACUGUAAUUACAUAAAUACGGCAUUAUAAAUGAAGGUUAGUGCCAGAAAUAGCAACGCAGACAGGGGAGCAAUUUGUCUUUGUGGAUGCAAGGGUGUGUGCACAUGUUUAUAAAUACCUCCCACUUACAUGGUAUUUGAAAAUUGUUUGCUAGUCCAAGCAAGGAGGGCUUAGGAAACAAAAUAAGAGCCUCACCUUAUUUUCAGCAGAAGAAGAUGAAGGCAAGAAAAGGCAGGUUCUUCUAGUCAUGAUCAAUGGAAAUAAUGAGGCACUGACUCCCCAGCCAUGUGAUGGAGCCACCUUGGAAAUGGAUCCUGCAGCCCAGUCAAGCCUUUGGACGAAUGCAGCUCCAACUGACAUCUUGACCAUAACCUUAUGAGAGAUCCUGAGCCAGACCCACCAGAUAAGCCACUCUCAAAUUCCUAAACUACAGGAAACAUAAGUAUAAUAAAUAUUUAUUGUUGCUUUAAGCCAUUAAGUUUUGGAGUAAUUUGUUACACAGUAGUAGCUAACUAAUGGAGUCCUAGUGGUAUUGACCUGCAGCCCCCCAUAGCUGUACACUUCUCAUCAACCCCUUCCCUGUGCUGCCUUAGAUCACCUCCAAAGAAAACCACCUGCGUUCAAAAUCUUAUCUCAGGGUUUGCUUUUGGAAUCGAAGAAAUCCCAGAGAAGGUAAAUAUUAUUAUUAUCCUCAUUUUAGGGAUGAGAAAAAACACACGUAGGUUAGAGUUACACAGCAAAUAGUGGCAGAACAGAGGUUUUCUGAGUCCUCAUCCACUGCUUCCUGUUUCAUCACAGCGGCUUCUCCCUCCCACCCCAAUCCUUUCCAAUUUCAAGCAAUCUCUCUUCUCUCCCCAAGAACACUGUUAAUUUGCUCAUUCGCUGUGGACCGAGACACUCAUCAUAACCACAAAAUUUAAAAACCAAUCUAAGCAAAUUCAGUAACAAAAGCAGGAACUUUGAGUCACUCAAGUCUCAGUGCAUUUAUUUUUCCUAAUGAUACCUACACACAGCAGGGAGAAAUAAUUAGCAAAUUAAUGGGUUAUUCCUCUGUUGACAUUCAUGCAAAGGCUAGAUGUGACUCCCUUGUUCUAUGUCUUACAGGCUCUGGCCUGAAACUGCUGACCAACAUCACUGGUAAUUUAUUGAAGUUAUGAACAAAUGCCCGUGCUGCGUGGGCAAGAAAUAAAGAUGAAGCCUAAAUUUGCUAUGCUUUCUGUUCUGAUCAAAUAAAAUGUACAGCCAACUUCAUCUGUCAGAUAUUUAAUCAUAAUCAUUAUUGUGCUAUGUGGUAAUUAGGCAUAAAUGGAACAUAAAUGACUCUUGAUAGCACCAUUUUAUAUAUCAAACUGUAAUUUUUGUGUUUUUCUUCUCCCUUUGACAGUUUUCCAGUACCCAUCUCUACUCAGUGUCACUGUGGUUGGUUUCCCCUGAGUCAGAGUGGUCGAAGAGAAACAUAUGGGCUUUGGAACCCGACAAAUCACUCAGGCUGUAUUACCUUGAUCAAGUCACUUUACAUCUCUGGGCCUCUUGUAUAAAAUGGAGAUGAGGCCUCUCCAGUAGGAUUGCUAUGAGAAUCAAAUGAGAAGCUGAAAAGCAAUGACGGGCAAAGUGUUCAUAUGCAGUAGGUGCUCAAUAAAUGUCUCCUUCCUGUU